Molecule: ribosomal RNA, 880 nt
Filed under: Trichoderma stercorarium
Lineage: Eukaryota; Fungi; Ascomycota; Sordariomycetes; Hypocreales; Hypocreaceae
Description: LSU rRNA
Rfam family: Eukaryotic large subunit ribosomal RNA
Source: RNAcentral
UAAAUAAGCGGAGGAAAAGAAACCAACAGGGAUUGCCCCAGUAACGGCGAGUGAAGCGCAACAGCUCAAAUUUGNAAUCUGGCCCCUCUCGGGGUCCGAGUUGUAAUUUGUAGAGGAUGNUUUUGGCGAGGCGCCGCCCGAGUUCCCUGGAACGGGACGCCACAGAGGGUGAGAGCCCCGUCUGGCUGGCCGCCGAGCCUCUGUAAAGCUCCUUCGACGAGUCGAGUAGUUUGGGAAUGCUGCUCAAAAUGGGAGGUAUAUGUCUUCUAAAGCUAAAUACUGGCCAGAGACCGAUAGCGCACAAGUAGAGUGAUCGAAAGAUGAAAAGCACCUUGAAAAGAGGGUUAAAUAGUACGUGAAAUUGUUGAAAGGGAAGCGCUUGUGACCAGACUUGGGCUCNUCGGAUCAUCCGGGGUUCUCCCCGGUGCACUUCGCCUCGCCCAGGCCAGCAUCAGUUCGUNGCGGGGGAUAAAGGCNUCGGGAACGUGGCUCCUCCGGGAGUGUUAUAGCCCGUUGCGCAAUACCCUGCGGUGGACUGAGGACCGCGCAUCUNGCAAGGAUGCUGGCGUAAUGGUCACCAGCGACCCGUCUUGAAACACGGACCAAGGAGUCGUCUUCGUAUGCGAGUGUUCGGGUGUCAAACCCCUACGCGUAAUGAAAGUGAACGCAGGUGAGAGCUUCGGCGCAUCAUCGACCGAUCCUGAUGUUCUCGGAUGGAUUUGAGUAAGAGCAUACGGGNCCGGACCCGAAAGAAGGUGAACUAUGCNUGUAUAGGGUGAAGCCAGAGGAAACUCUGGUGGAGGCUCGCAGCGGUUCUGACGUGCAAAUCGAUCGUCAAAUAUGGGCAUGGGGGCGAAAGACUAAUCGAACCUUCUAGUAG